AGAGUUUGAUUCUGGCUCAGAACGAACGCUGGCGGCGUGGAUAAGACAUGCAAGUCGAACGAGAGAAUUGCUAGCUUGCUAAUAAUUCUCUAGUGGCGCACGGGUGAGUAACACGUGAGUAACCUGCCCCCGAGAGCGGGAUAGCCCUGGGAAACUGGGAUUAAUACCGCAUAGUAUCGAAAGAUUAAAGCAGCAAUGCGCUUGGGGAUGGGCUCGCGGCCUAUUAGUUAGUUGGUGAGGUAACGGCUCACCAAGGCGAUGACGGGUAGCCGGUCUGAGAGGAUGUCCGGCCACACUGGAACUGAGACACGGUCCAGACACCUACGGGUGGCAGCAGUCGAGAAUCAUUCACAAUGGGGGAAACCCUGAUGGUGCGACGCCGCGUGGGGGAAUGAAGGUCUUCGGAUUGUAAACCCCUGUCAUGUGGGAGCAAAUUAAAAAGAUAGUACCACAAGAGGAAGAGACGGCUAACUCUGUGCCAGCAGCCGCGGUAAUACAGAGGUCUCAAGCGUUGUUCGGAAUCACUGGGCGUAAAGCGUGCGUAGGCUGUUUCGUAAGUCGUGUGUGAAAGGCGCGGGCUCAACCCGCGGACGGCACAUGAUACUGCGAGACUAGAGUAAUGGAGGGGGAACCGGAAUUCUCGGUGUAGCAGUGAAAUGCGUAGAUAUCGAGAGGAACACUCGUGGCGAAGGCGGGUUCCUGGACAUUAACUGACGCUGAGGCACGAAGGCCAGGGGAGCGAAAGGGAUUAGAUACCCCUGUAGUCCUGGCAGUAAACGGUGCACGCUUGGUGUGCGGGGAAUCGACCCCCUGCGUGCCGGAGCUAACGCGUUAAGCGUGCCGCCUGGGGAGUACGGUCGCAAGAUUAAAACUCAAAGAAAUUGACGGGGACCCGCACAAGCGGUGGAGUAUGUGGCUUAAUUCGAUGCAACGCGAAGAACCUUACCUGGGCUUGACAUGUAAUGAACAACAUGUGAAAGCAUGCGACUCUUCGGAGGCGUUACACAGGUGCUGCAUGGCCGUCGUCAGCUCGUGUCGUGAGAUGUUUGGUUAAGUCCAGCAACGAGCGCAACCCCUGUUGCCAGUUACCAGCACGUGAAGGUGGGGACUCUGGCGAGACUGCCCAGAUCAACUGGGAGGAAGGUGGGGACGACGUCAGGUCAGUAUGGCCCUUAUGCCCAGGGCUGCACACGUACUACAAUGCCCAGUACAGAGGGGGCCGAAGCCGCGAGGCGGAGGAAAUCCUAAAAACUGGGCCCAGUUCGGACUGUAGGCUGCAACCCGCCUACACGAAGCCGGAAUCGCUAGUAAUGGCGCAUCAGCUACGGCGCCGUGAAUACGUUCCCGGGUCUUGUACACACCGCCCGUCACAUCAUGGAAGCCGGUCGCACCCGAAGUAUCUGAAGCCAACCGCAAGGAGGCAGGGUCCUAAGGUGAGACUGGUAACUGGGAUGAAGUCGUAACAAGGUAGCCGUAGGGGAACCUGCGGCUGGAUCACCUCCUUUCU
Molecule: ribosomal RNA, 1507 nt
Filed under: Akkermansia muciniphila ATCC BAA-835
Lineage: Bacteria; Pseudomonadati; Verrucomicrobiota; Verrucomicrobiia; Verrucomicrobiales; Akkermansiaceae
Description: 16S ribosomal RNA
Rfam family: Bacterial small subunit ribosomal RNA
Source: RNAcentral